UUGGAGGGCAAGUCUGGUGCCAGCAGCCGCGGUAAUUCCAGCUCCAAUAGCGUAUAUUAAAGUUGUUGCAGUUAAAAAGCUCGUAGUUGAAUUUCGGGAUCAAUUUGUUGGUCGUGCCUCGGUACGUACUGGCAUUAUUGGUUUCUACCUUCUGAAGAACCUUGAUGUCAUUAAUUUGGUGUCUUGGGGAAUCAGGACUGUUACUUUGAAAAAAUUAGAGUGUUUAAAGCAGGCAUACGCUUGAAUACAUUAGCAUGGAAUAAUGAAAUAGGACGUUUGAUUCUAUUUUGUUGGUUUCUAGGAUCGACGUAAUGAUUAAUAGGGAUAGUUGGGGGCAUUGGUAUUCAAUUGUCAGAGGUGAAAUUCUUGGAUUUAUUGAAGACUAACUACUGCGAAAGCAUUUGCCAAGGAUGUUUUCGUUAAUCAAGAACGAAAGUUAGGGGAUCGAAGACGAUCAGAUACCGUCGUAGUCUUAACCAUAAACUAUGCCGACUAGGGAUCGGAUGAUGUUAAUUUUUUAAUGACUCAUUCGGCGCCUUACGGGAAAC
RNAcentral lists this ribosomal RNA (548 nucleotides) under uncultured Funneliformis. RNAcentral describes it as "SSU rRNA". It matches the Rfam family "Eukaryotic small subunit ribosomal RNA", at positions 548 to 1098 of the family's 1831-position model. The record is from RNAcentral. Lineage: Eukaryota; Fungi; Glomeromycota; Glomeromycetes; Glomerales; Glomeraceae.